Molecule: ribosomal RNA, 492 nt
Filed under: uncultured bacterium
Lineage: Bacteria
Description: partial 16S ribosomal RNA
Rfam family: Bacterial small subunit ribosomal RNA
Source: RNAcentral
AGUGAACGCUGGCGGUAGGCCUAACACAUGCAAGUCGAACGGCAGCACAGUAAGAGCUUGCUCUUACGGGUGGCGAGUGGCGGACGGGUGAGGAAUACAUCGGAAUCUACUUUUUCGUGGGGGAUAACGUAGGGAAACUUACGCUAAUACCGCAUACGACCUACGGGUGAAAGCAGGGGAUCUUCGGACCUUGCGCGAUUGAAUGAGCCGAUGUCGGAUUAGCUAGUUGGCGGGGUACAGGCCCACCAAGGCGACGAUCCGUAGCUGGUCUGAGAGGAUGAUCAGCCACACUGGAACUGAGACACGGUCCUGACUCCUACGGGAGGCAGCAGUGGGGAAUAUUGGACAAUGGGCGCAAGCCUGAUCCAGCCAUACCGCGUAGGUGAAGAAGGCCUUCGGGUUUUAAAGCCCUUUUGUUGGGAAAGAAAAGCAGCAGGUUAAUACCCCGCUGUUCUGACGGUACCCAAUGAAUAAGCACCGGCUAACUUCGUG